This 440-nucleotide ribosomal RNA is filed under the name uncultured bacterium. RNAcentral describes it as "partial 16S ribosomal RNA". It matches the Rfam family "Bacterial small subunit ribosomal RNA", at positions 338 to 795 of the family's 1533-position model. The record is from RNAcentral.
CCUACGGGAGGCAGCAGUGGGGAAUAUUGCACAAUGGGGGAAACCCUGAUGCAGCGACGCCGCGUGAGUGAAGACGUAAUUCGUUAUGUAAAGCUCUAUCAGCAGGGAAGAAAAUGGCGGUACCUGUGUAAGAAGCCCCGGCUAACUACGUGCCAGCAGCCGCGGGUAUACGUAGGGGGCAAGCGUUAUCCGGAUUUACUGGGUGUAAAGGGAGCGUAGACGGUUGUGCAAGUCUGGAGUGAAAGGCGGGGGCUCAACCCCCGGACUGCUCUGGAAACUGGACGGCUGGAGUGCAGGAGAGGUAAGUGGAAUUCCUGGUGUAGCGGUGAAAUGCGUAGAUAUUAGGAGGAACACCAGUGGCGAAGGCGGCUUACUGAACUGUAACUGACGUUGAGGCUCGAAAGCGUGGGGAGCAAACAGGAUUAGAUACCCGUGUAGUC